Molecule: ribosomal RNA, 460 nt
Filed under: uncultured bacterium
Lineage: Bacteria
Description: partial 16S ribosomal RNA
Rfam family: Bacterial small subunit ribosomal RNA
Source: RNAcentral
CCUACGGGUGGCAGCAGUGAGGAAUAUUGGUCAAUGGACGAGAGCCUGAACCAGCCAAGUAGCGUGAAGGAUGACUGCCCUAUGGGUUGUAAACUUCUUUUAUAUGGGAAUAAAAUGUUGCACGUGUGGUGUUUUGUAUGUACCAUAUGAAUAAGGAUCGGCUAACUCCGUGCCAGCAGCCGCGGUAAUACGGAGGAUCCGAGCGUUAUCCGGAUUUAUUGGGUUUAAAGGGAGCGUAGGUGGAUUGUUAAGUCAGUUGUGAAAGUUUGCGGCUCAACCGUAAAAUUGCAGUUGAAACUGGCAGUCGUGAGUACAGUAGAGGUGGGCGGAAUGCGUGGUGUAGCGGUGAAAUGCUUAGAUAUCACGAAGAACUCCGAUUGCGAAGGCAGCUUACUGGACUGCAACUGACACUGAGGCUCGAAAGUGUGGGUAUCAAACAGGAUUAGAUACCCGUGUAGUC